GUCGUAAGGGCCAUUUAUUCAAUUAUUCAUGCAACCAUUGGGUAGAGGAGCUGCACAUUUCAGUUUCAUUCCAACUGCUUGCAAGUUUACGGUUAAGAACUGCUGUAAGGUCCAGCGAGCUCAGGACUGCCUGCCCCUAUACUGCAGUGUCAGUUAAUUGCAAGGAGCAUGAGGAAUACCUGUCUGUUUCCCUUCUGGCUCCAUGGAAUGUGCACACACUCAGAGGAAGCAGAUCGUGUGUCUCAAAGGCCAUGUACGCUCCACUAAACUGAAAGUAGUAAUCCAGCCUAGUGUAGAUGUGCUCUGGAGCACACGCCUCCCAUCGUCUUCAGAGAGUCUGUGGAAGCAUUCCUGGACAUGGUCAGUGAAGUGGUAUAGCAAUAAUAUUAUAGUAAGCUGCUGCAUGGUUGUUUACAAACACCUCAUGAAAGGCAAAACUGUAUUUAUGAAACUAUACUUAUAAUCACAAACAAGUGGAUAAAUUUAUUAUAAUUUUGGUAUUAUAAAAUAUGCUAGUAUUUGAACAAUUUUUAAUAAAACUCAAAAUACCUUGUGAACA
This is a long non-coding RNA of Anser cygnoides (Swan goose), 559 nucleotides long. Lineage: Eukaryota; Metazoa; Chordata; Aves; Anseriformes; Anatidae. The record is from Ensembl.